This 240-nucleotide unclassified non-coding RNA is filed under the name soil metagenome. RNAcentral describes it as "partial contains 5.8S ribosomal RNA, internal transcribed spacer 2, and large subunit ribosomal RNA". The record is from RNAcentral.
AACAUCGCGCACCUGCGGGAACCUGCGGAGGGAUCAUUAAUGAUUGGUGGCUGUUGCUGACUAGUGUUUCUAGUAUGUGCACGCCACACCUUCAAUCCCACUUACACCCGUGCACCUUCUGUAAUAGAUCUAUGUGGAUACGGAGAUAUGAAAGUUUGCGCUCUCGUACUCUGUUGAAGCAGUCUACUACGUUUUUUUACACACACACAAUAGUCAUUGAAUGUAUUUUUUAUUCUUAUG